AACUGAAUGGAGAAGUGGUUUAACUCGUCUCAUUCACUCUGAGAAGAUCGUCGGUUCAAACCCGGCUUCAGUUA
Molecule: non-coding RNA, 74 nt
Organism: Pilaira anomala
Lineage: Eukaryota; Fungi; Mucoromycota; Mucoromycetes; Mucorales; Mucoraceae
Source: the annotation of a GenBank genome assembly